UGCUUUUCAUUUUACAGUAGUCAUAUUUCAAAACCCUAACCUCAAAUUCGUAACUUCAUCUCUUCUAAUGUAUGCGUGCUGCCUCUCUCUCUCUCUCUCUCUCUCUCUCUCUGAGCACAUUCAGAGAAAAUGAAACCUCAAAUCUCAAUCUCUAUCAUCGUCGAUAUCAAGCAUAGCCCAUUUCCAGCCCCCAAUUGCACAUCCAUAAUCACUCUCAAGAAAAUGGAAGAAUGGUAAGUAUGAAAUUGUGGAAGAAGUUGAAGAGAUGGAAAGAAGUCCAGAUCUAGUGACAUGGAUUAUGAGGAGGAUGAACUGUUGUCAGAUAGUGAUCCUGAAGGAGAGGAUAAACUGUUGUCAGGAUCUCUAAGAGUUACCAACCGAGAAAAAGAGGGAAAUGAUACUUACAACACGCCAGCUGGCCCUUCUAAGCAAGGAUGCCUCUUCUGCAUCCGGGAAAAGUCAAAUUGAGUUCCCAAAUGGUUUACCCCCACAGCCGUCUCGAAGCGAGUAUCUUUAUUUCAUUUUUCUGAUUUUUUGUUCAUUUCCUAGUUAUUUACUAGUCAUGUCUCGUCUUUGCCAAUAACCUAUGUUCCAGUGCAAAAGGAGAAAUUGUCAGAAAUUGAAUAGCAAUUGAAGAAAAUUGUGGCCCCUUAGAAGCGUAGAAUGCUAAAUGAGAAAGCAGCCCAGUAAUAAGAGGCUAAGAUAAACAUUGGCCUUUUUCUCUGUGUUGGCUUGCAGUUUGAAGUGUCAGAAUCAAAUUAAUCAGCUAUUGGAUCGAGUUUCUCCGGCAACAUCCACAUUUUCAAUGGUAUGCUGCUUUCAAACUUUAAAGAAGAGUAUCUCUGUUUCUGAACUCUGUUUUUUUACUUAGACUUGCACUAUUUAGGUGCAUUGCAUGAUAUUUAUAUGAUAAUAGUUAUUGUUGCACUAAUGAAGUGAAUGAGCGGUCACAUUGUCGUUCUCUAAGACAUUAGAGAUAAUGUUUGUUGGUUUUUUAAUCUAUUUUGUACUCAAAGAGAUGACAAGAUGAGCACAAAUGUAGAUGUUUUUCCUUCAUUAGAUUGUAUUAAAGAUGUAAAAGGAUAAAGGAAAGGCUUUGUUACCUUCUGAUUGUGGAGUUAAUGAAUAUUAUGCCCAUGAUCUUCACUGAUUAUCUAGAUUUGCCCAGCCAUGAUCUCACCUAGCAUUUGAUAAAAAUAGAUUUAAAAUACCACCAGACUGACUUUGGUUUCCAAUCUAGCUAGUUCAAAGUUGUGCAUUUUAUUUGAAUUUAUGAUAUUUAUUACUUGCACAAAUGUAUUUUAUAUGCAUGUAUGUGUAGUGUAAUGAAUAUAUUUCUUUUGAGUUGAUUUGUGUGGAGCUUUAUGAUGUUGGAAAUUUGUCUUGUUUGUGAUUAUAGAUGGCACUGUAAUGGUACAUUUGAUGUACGCAAUAGAACUGGAGGUUGUUUUGGAACCAUGAGGUUCCAUACUGAGCUGGCUCAUGGAGCCAACAAUGGCAUUGACAUUGCUUUUAGGUUCUUGUAGCCCAUUAGGGAGCAAUUCUCUUUCCUUUAUCUUACUGAUUUCUAUCAAGAAGUUUAUUGAUUUAGAAUGUUUAUAUUACGUAAUUUGUUUGGUUUGCUUUAUUAAAUAUAUAUAUUUUUUAGAGAAAUUGGAUUAUUUUCAUCCUCAUCUUGCACAUAGUUGGCUGCUGGUGUUGUUGAAGUUACUGGAGUACGUAAAAUUCCAAUCCAUCUAGGAAGGCUGGUUAGUAUUUUUUUUUUCCCACUCAAGUGAUGCAUUUAACAAUUUUAUGUUUAUAAUCUGCAUGUACAAAUUGUGAUAUGCACAUUUUUUGAGUUAUUAUGUUGUCUAUUCAUUAUUAAGAAGCCAUGUUUUAGAAUGUGGUAUAGCUUGUGUGGUUGUAAAGAGUAAGACACAAUUUAUCCCUUUAUGAAUUUAAAUGUCUAUUCAUUUUUUGCAUUUGAACUUCGUCUUAAAUUUGUAGUCACAUACAACUUGUAAGAAUUGAACCUAGAUGUUUUGCAUCAUUAUUUAUGAUAUGAGAUAUUUGAUAUAUUUUUCCUCUAAAUAAUAUUUUAUUACUUUUUAUAUGUUCGUCUUUGACUAAAGUUUUGGAGCUUGUCCUUUCAGGAAUCCUCAUUUAACCAAAUAACAAAUUGUGGUUGAGCUGAAAGUAUAUCUUGGAGUCAAGAAAGUUAUUUGAUUGUCCUGUGAAUUAGUAGUUAUUUAUUCAGUCUUUGGAUUUGAUUUUCUUCUUUUUAGGUUUGGUGAACUACACUAAGUAGUUCAUUCAUGAAAUUGUUAGCAUAUAUUUUAUUGGUAUUUGUUUUGGUUUUGGAGGUAACCAAGUUUGUAAAUAAUGCUUUGACCUAUAUUUAUUUGAUUGACAAUUGAGUUUUUUUUCUAUA
This is a long non-coding RNA of Olea europaea var. sylvestris, 2413 nucleotides long. RefSeq lists it as uncharacterized. The transcript is spliced from 2 exons. The record is from RefSeq and is a predicted model, not a curated record. Lineage: Eukaryota; Viridiplantae; Streptophyta; Magnoliopsida; Lamiales; Oleaceae.